GUUUAAGUAGCAGAGCACGGUUACUGCUGAAGGCCUAAGCCCUUCUUACAGAGGUUCAAAUCCUCUCUUCAACU
RNAcentral lists this transfer RNA (74 nucleotides) under Bolbometopon muricatum (green humphead parrotfish). Its description in RNAcentral is "tRNA-Leu". It matches the Rfam family "tRNA". Rfam says of the family: Transfer RNA (tRNA) molecules are approximately 80 nucleotides in length. Their secondary structure includes four short double-helical elements and three loops (D, anti-codon, and T loops). The record is from RNAcentral. Lineage: Eukaryota; Metazoa; Chordata; Actinopteri; Labriformes; Labridae.